UUUAAAGUCUAAUCUGCCCAAUGAUAAUUUAAAUGGCCGCGGUAAUUUGACCGUGCAAAGGUAGCAUAAUCAUUAGUUUUUUAAUUGAAAGCUGGAAUGAACGAUUGGACGAGAAAAUAACUGUCUUUGUUUAACUGAUUCGAAUUUUAUUUUUUAGUAAAAAAGCUUAAAUUUUUUUAAAAGACGAGAAGACCCUAUAGAGCUUUAUAUUAGUUAAUAUAUUUGUUUUGAAGAAGAUUUUUAUCGGUAUUUAUUAGGUAUUUUGUUGGGGCGAUAGAAAAAUUGAUGAAACUUUUUUUAUUUAAAAUCAUUAAUUUAUGUUUAAGUGAUCCAUGUUUUAUGAUUAUAAGAUUCAGUUACCUUAGGGAUAACAGCGUUAUUUUUUUUUAGAGUUCUAAUCGAAAAAAGAGUUUGCGACCUCGAUGUUGGAUUAAAAUUAACUUUUGGUGCAGGGGCUAAAUGGUUAGGUCUGUUCGACCUUUAAAAUUUUACAUGAUCUGAGUUUAAACCGGCGUGAGCCAGGUUGGUUUCUAUCUUUAAAAUUUAAUGAAUUUUUUAGUACGAAAGGAUCAAAGAUUUAAAAUAAUUAUUGUAUUUUGGAUUUAAUUAA
RNAcentral lists this ribosomal RNA (610 nucleotides) under Apogonia sp. BMNH 671353. RNAcentral describes it as "partial 16S large subunit ribosomal RNA". It matches the Rfam family "Bacterial large subunit ribosomal RNA", at positions 1844 to 2733 of the family's 2925-position model. The record is from RNAcentral. Lineage: Eukaryota; Metazoa; Arthropoda; Insecta; Coleoptera; Scarabaeidae.